This 511-nucleotide ribosomal RNA is filed under the name uncultured bacterium. RNAcentral describes it as "bacterial SSU rRNA". It matches the Rfam family "Bacterial small subunit ribosomal RNA", at positions 28 to 535 of the family's 1533-position model. The record is from RNAcentral.
GACGAACGCUGGCGGCGUGGAUUAGGCAUGCAAGUCGAACGGCAGCGCGGGGGCAACCCUGGCGGCGAGUGGCGAACGGGUGAGUAAUGUAUCGGAACGUAUCCUGUAAUGGGGGAUAACCAGUCGAAAGAUUGGGUAAUACCGCAUACGCACGAGAGUGGAAAGUAGGGGAUCGCAAGACCUUACGUUAUAGGAGCGGCCGAUAUCUGAUUAGCUAGUUGGUGGGGUAAAGGCCUACCAAGGCGACGAUCAGUAGCUGGUCUGAGAGGACGACCAGCCACACUGGGACUGAGACACGGCCCAGACUCCUACGGGAGGCAGCAGUGGGGAAUUUUGGACAAUGGGCGAAAGCCUGAUCCAGCCAUGCCGCGUGCAGGAAGAAGGCCUUCGGUUGUAAACUGCUUUAGUCUAGGAAAAGGGUGGCGAGGUUAAUACCUCGUGCUUUGAUGGUACUGGAAGAAUAAAGCACCGGCUAACUAACGUGCCAGCAGCCGCGGUAAAUCACGUGUAC